This 264-nucleotide long non-coding RNA is filed under the name Mytilus galloprovincialis (Mediterranean mussel). The record is from RNAcentral. Lineage: Eukaryota; Metazoa; Mollusca; Bivalvia; Mytilida; Mytilidae.
UGUGGUCUAAUGAACUUAAAAGUUUUUUUUUGCCUUUGAGCAAUUCACUAUGCUGUUGAAUAUUAAUCCCCUCAAAAAAAUGUUUGAAGAAAUUUUCUUUUUAUUUAUGAAAUCUGAAAUGAGAAAAAUUUAAACCCCCCCUUUUUUUCACAUCCCCGCUUCCCUUUUUCCAAAACUGAUAUCAAUUCAAAUUUCUAAUGAAGUUUGCAACAAUAACUACUCUUUUAAAUACAUCAUAAAAUAUUAAAAUGUAAAAUAAAGUGC